GACGAACGCUGGCGGCGUGCUUAACACAUGCAAGUCGAACGGAAAGGCCCCAGCUUGCUGGGGUACUCGAGUGGCGAACGGGUGAGUAACACGUGGGUGAUCUGCCCUGCACUCUGGGAUAAGCCUGGGAAACUGGGUCUAAUACCGGAUAGGACCGUGCUUUAGUGUGUGCGGUGGAAAGUUUUUCGGUGCAGGAUGAGCCCGCGGCCUAUCAGCUUGUUGGUGGGGUAUGGCCUACCAAGGCGGCGACGGGUAGCCGGCCUGAGAGGGUGUACGGCCACAUUGGGACUGAGACACGGCCCAGACGCCUACGGGAGGCAGCAGUGGGGAAUAUUGCACAAUGGGCGCAAGCCUGAUGCAGCGACGCCGCGUGGGGGAUGACGGCCUUCGGGUUGUAAACCCCUUUCGGCAGGGACGAAGCUUUUGUGACGGUACCUGCAUAAGAAGCACCGGCUAACUACGU
This 463-nucleotide ribosomal RNA is filed under the name uncultured bacterium. RNAcentral's name for it is "partial 16S ribosomal RNA". It matches the Rfam family "Bacterial small subunit ribosomal RNA", at positions 28 to 506 of the family's 1533-position model. The record is from RNAcentral.